UACGGAGGGUGCGAGCGUUAUCCGGAUUCACUGGGUUUAAAGGGUGCGUAGGUGGGAAUGUAAGUCAGUGGUGAAAUCUCCGUGCUUAACACGGAAACUGCCAUUGAUACUAUGUUUCUUGAAUUUUCUGGAGGUUAGCGGAAUAUGUCAUGUAGCGGUGAAAUGCUUAGAUAUGACAUAGAACACCGAUUGCGAAGGCAGCUAACUACAGGGAUAUUGACACUGAGGCACGAAAGCGUGGGGAUCAAACAGG
This 253-nucleotide ribosomal RNA is filed under the name uncultured bacterium. RNAcentral's name for it is "partial 16S ribosomal RNA". It matches the Rfam family "Bacterial small subunit ribosomal RNA", at positions 524 to 776 of the family's 1533-position model. The record is from RNAcentral.